AGUGAACGCUGGCGGUAGGCCUAACACAUGCAAGUCGAACGGCAGCACAGUAAGAGCUUGCUCUUACGGGUGGCGAGUGGCGGACGGGUGAGGAAUACAUCGGAAUCUACUUUUUCGUGGGGGAUAACGCAGGGAAACUUACGCUAAUACCGCAUACGACCUACGGGUGAAAGCAGGGGAUCUUCGGACCUUGCGCGAUUGAAUGAGCCGAUGUCGGAUUAGCUAGUUGGCGGGGUAAAGGCCCACCAAGGCGACGAUCCGUAGCUGGUCUGAGAGGAUGAUCAGCCACACUGGAACUGAGACACUGUCCAGACUCCUACGGGAGGCAGCAGUGGGGAAUAUUGGACAAUGGGCGCAAGCCUGAUCCAGCCAUACCGCGUGGGUGAAGAAGGCCUUCGGGUUGUAAAGCCCUUUUGUUGGGAAAGAAAAGCAGCAGGUUAAUACCCCGCUGUUCUGACGGUACCCAAAGAAUAAGCACCGGCUAACUUCGUG
This 492-nucleotide ribosomal RNA is filed under the name uncultured bacterium. RNAcentral describes it as "partial 16S ribosomal RNA". It matches the Rfam family "Bacterial small subunit ribosomal RNA", at positions 29 to 507 of the family's 1533-position model. The record is from RNAcentral.